GGGGAUAGCAGCCUUGAAACAGCUCUGGUUUUGCUGAAACAUGAGUCUACAAUGGGGGCAGGGGAUAGCAGGAAUACUAUCACCACUAAAUGGCUGUUUAUUGCUUUAUGGAAUUCUCUGCAAUUCCUGUUUCUCUCCAUGUUUUGUUAAACUAAGUGAGGAAUUGUGCUGAAAGUGACGAGGUAUUCCUUCUGUACCACUUACUUGUUCGAGUAAGGAGGAGGAUUCACUGUCUUCCAAGGGGCUGAUAGGGCUUCAGUCCCUUCCUUGUCCCCCUUCCAGCCUCCAGUUCAUUGUGGGACACACUUGGGGCAGAUGGAUGACCGCAUCCAGAAAGGUAGAAAAGGAUUGAGUGUUUCAAAUUCCUUUGCCUCGGAGUUGUGAAAGUUAUCUACUGCUCUUCGUGACUUUCUUUCUUGUUUCAUAAUUUUGUUCUUCCUUACAAAGGAGACUUUGAUAAGAGGAUAUUACGUCCUCAGUUGAAUCAUUUGCCAUGAAGCACUAUAUGAGUUUUCUUCAGUCUACCUCAAAAUGGUGGCNAGCUGACUUGGCCAGAAGUAAAAACUGACUGCAACUGUCUUAGGAAAGGAUCAGCGCUGACGCUGUGCUGGACGUUUGAAUACAUCCGUGAUUGCUGCCAGCUGCAGGCUGAGUGCCUCCUGAGUUGCUGAGGUCUCCUGUGUCCACUUCUGUUGCCUGAUGGUAAUCUGCAGGAAAGGCAUGGCAGGAUUUUACAAAUGCAGGGAGAAGCGGAGCACAUGGAUUUCUAAACACGCUGGGAUUUUAUACAGCUACAAAAAUAAGAACGACAACAGAACCUGACCCUACCGAAAGCAGUCAAAUGAAUCGUAAUUGCAGAUCAAUGCAGAGAAAUGGGGAAACUUCACUCGAAGCAUGGUUAGUUCCUUUCACUUGCUACUUCCUUAGCCCUUUCCCCUUAUUCGGAUUUUACUUGGUUUGUUGCUGUGAUUUUAUACUGGUGUCUAACGAUCUUCCUUUAUUAUUUUCCUCACACACUUUCCUCUGGAUCUGCCUAGCCGCCGUUUGUAAACCCAGAGAAAGUCCGGAAGGUGAUAGUUUUGCGGUGAACGCCUCUCUGGCUCGCAAAGGGCUGGAGGACUGGAUGGUGAAGCAGAAAUACUCCGGGGGCAGCGGCAGCAGCAGCGGAGGCAGCAGCUCGGGACUCCAGGGCUGCCAGCACCGGACUGCUUGCGGGCUCUCCAGCGGCAGGGCUAACGGUUACUGGUGGACAGUUCUUCUGUGUCAACAGAUGCUAUGA
RNAcentral lists this long non-coding RNA (1279 nucleotides) under Pavo cristatus (Indian peafowl). Its description in RNAcentral is "lncRNA (ENSPSTG00000008004.1)". Lineage: Eukaryota; Metazoa; Chordata; Aves; Galliformes; Phasianidae. The record is from RNAcentral.